CCGCACGCGCGCUACACUGACAAAGUCAACGAGUUUUUAAUAAUCCUUAUUUGAAAAAAUUGGGUAAUCUUGUUAAACUUUGUCGUGCUGGGGAUAGAGCAUUGCAAUUAUUGCUCUUCAACGAGGAAUUCCUAGUAAGCGCAAGUCAUCAGCUUGCGUUGAUUACGU
RNAcentral lists this ribosomal RNA (168 nucleotides) under uncultured eukaryote. Its description in RNAcentral is "partial 18S rRNA". It matches the Rfam family "Eukaryotic small subunit ribosomal RNA", at positions 1487 to 1650 of the family's 1831-position model. The record is from RNAcentral.